GGCACUGUAGCUUAGUGGUUAAAGCACUUGUCUCGUAAACAGGAGAUCCCUAGUUCAAUUCUGAGCAGUGCCU
This 73-nucleotide transfer RNA is filed under the name Clytia hemisphaerica. RNAcentral's name for it is "tRNA-Thr for anticodon CGU". It matches the Rfam family "tRNA". From Rfam's summary of the family: Transfer RNA (tRNA) molecules are approximately 80 nucleotides in length. Their secondary structure includes four short double-helical elements and three loops (D, anti-codon, and T loops). Further hydrogen bonds mediate the characteristic L-shaped molecular structure. tRNAs have two regions of fundamental functional importance: the anti-codon, which is responsible for specific mRNA codon recognition, and the 3' end, to which the tRNAs corresponding amino acid is attached (by aminoacyl-tRNA synthetases). tRNAs cope with the degeneracy of the genetic code in two manners: having more than one tRNA (with a specific anti-codon) for a particular amino acid; and 'wobble' base-pairing, i.e. permitting non-standard base-pairing at the 3rd anti-codon position. The record is from Rfam by way of RNAcentral. Lineage: Eukaryota; Metazoa; Cnidaria; Hydrozoa; Leptothecata; Clytiidae.